RNAcentral lists this ribosomal RNA (511 nucleotides) under uncultured spirochete. RNAcentral's name for it is "bacterial SSU rRNA". It matches the Rfam family "Bacterial small subunit ribosomal RNA", at positions 362 to 869 of the family's 1533-position model. Lineage: Bacteria; Pseudomonadati; Spirochaetota; Spirochaetia; Spirochaetales. The record is from RNAcentral.
UCUUCCGCAAUGGGGAAACCUGACGGAGCGACGCCGCGUGGACGAGGAAGGCCGCAAGGUUGUAAAGUCCUUUUCUUGACGAAGAAUAAGCGCGGGAGUGGAAUGCCCGCGUGAUGACGUUAGUCGAGGAAGAAGCCCCGGCCAAUUACGUGCCAGCAGCCGCGGUAACACGUAUGGGGCGAGCGUUGUUCGGAAUUACUGGGCGUAAAGGGUGCGCAGGCGGUUCAGCAAGCCUGGUGUUAAAUACCCCGGCCUAACCGGGGAGUGCGCUGGGAACUGCUGGGCUUGAGUUCAGGAGGGGAAGCUGGAAUUCCUGGUGUAGGGGUGAAAUCUGUAGAGAUCAGGAAGAACACCGGUGGCGAAGGCGAGCUUCUGGCCAUGGAUUGACGCUGAGGCACGAAAGCGUGGGGAGCGAACAGGAUUAGAUACCCUGGUAGUCCACGCCGUAAACGAUGUGCACUGGGUGUUGGGDGAUGUAAGCCUCGGUGCCGUAGDAACGCGGUAAGUGCAC